CACAUUAACCUUUCCCAACCUGGCAUUCUCCAGUUGUGUUAAGACUCCAACUCUCCUAAUUUCAAACUCUUCUGGGAGAGCACAAGGUUCAGAGAGUCUGCUCUCUGUGAUUGUAUUUCAGCUCCCGAUGUCACCCCUCCCUGCAAGGAGAAAGGAUCCUUUUGAUCAGCCCAUCUCAGGCAAUUGAUGGACCCAGUCAGAGGUGCAUCUUGAUUUACUGAACUGAAAGAUGAAAUAAGUGCCUGGAAGGUUGCUAAAAGAUGACUCAAAAUGAUUCCGACUGGAGAUGGUUAAGAGCUCGUUUUAGGGAUUACCUGACGUAUGAGGGUGAAACAGCCAUACUUCUCUUUCUUACACCUGCUGAUAGCUAGCCAAAGACUGUUUUUUUUUCAUUUUUCAUUUUAUUAAUUUCAUAUAUACAUUCACAAU
This is a long non-coding RNA of Thamnophis elegans (Western terrestrial garter snake), 429 nucleotides long. RefSeq lists it as uncharacterized. The transcript is spliced from 3 exons. NCBI's taxonomy places the organism in Eukaryota, Metazoa, Chordata, Lepidosauria, Squamata, Natricidae. The record is from RefSeq and is a predicted model, not a curated record.